CUACGCACUCCUACGGGAGGCAGCAGUGGGGAAUAUUGCACAAUGGGCGCAAGCCUGAUGCAGCCAUGCCGCGUGUAUGAAGAAGGCCUUCGGGUUGUAAAGUACUUUCAGCAGUGAGGAAGGUGGAUAUGUUAAUAGCAUAUUCAUUUGACGUUAGCUGCAGAAGAAGCACCGGCUAACUCCGUGCCAGCAGCCGCGGUAAUACGGAGGGUGCGAGCGUUAAUCGGAAUUACUGGGCGUAAAGCGCAUGCAGGUGGUUUGUUAAGUCAGAUGUGAAAGCCCGGGGCUCAACCUCGGAAUUGCAUUGAAACUGGCAAACUAGAGUACUGUAGAGGGGGUAGAAUUUCAGGUGUAGCGGUGAAAAUGCGUAGAGAUCUGAAGGAAUACCGGUGGCGAAGGCGGCCCCCUGGACAGAUACUGACACUCAGAUGCGAAAGCGUGGGGAGCAAACAGGAUUAGAUACCCUGGUAG
Molecule: ribosomal RNA, 471 nt
Filed under: uncultured bacterium
Lineage: Bacteria
Description: bacterial SSU rRNA
Rfam family: Bacterial small subunit ribosomal RNA
Source: RNAcentral